This 378-nucleotide unclassified non-coding RNA is filed under the name plant metagenome. RNAcentral's name for it is "partial contains 5.8S ribosomal RNA, internal transcribed spacer 2, and large subunit ribosomal RNA". The stretch from base 1 to 105 matches the Rfam family "5.8S ribosomal RNA", at positions 50 to 154 of the family's 154-position model. The record is from RNAcentral.
GAAAUGCGAUAAGUAAUGUGAAUUGCAGAAUUCAGUGAAUCAUCGAAUCUUUGAACCCACCUUGCGCUCCUUGGUAUUCCUUGGAGCAUGCCUGUUUGAGUAUCAUGAAAUCUUCAAAGUAAAUCUUUUGUUAACUCAAUUGGUUUCUACUUUGGUAUUGGAGGUCUUUGCAGCUUCACACCUGCUCCUCUUUGUUCAUUAGCUGGAUCUCAGUGUUAUGCUUGGUUCCACUCGGCGUGAUAAGUUAUCUAUCGCUGAGGACACUGUAAAAGGUGGCCAAGGUAAAUGCAGAUGAACCGCUUCUAAUAGUCCAUUGACUUGGACAAUACUUUUAUGAUCUGAUCUCAAAUCAGGUAGGACUACCCGCUGAACUUAAGC